RNAcentral lists this ribosomal RNA (425 nucleotides) under uncultured bacterium. Its description in RNAcentral is "partial 16S ribosomal RNA". It matches the Rfam family "Bacterial small subunit ribosomal RNA", at positions 360 to 776 of the family's 1533-position model. The record is from RNAcentral.
AAUCUUGCGCAAUGGGCGAAAGCCUGACGCAGCGACGCCGCGUGAGUGAUGAAGGUCUUCGGAUCGUAAAGCUCUUUCGUCCGGGAAGAACGGCCCGGAGGCCAAUACCCAUCGGGAGUGACGGUACCGGAAGAAGAAGCACCGGCUAACUCUGUGCCAGCAGCCGCGGUAAUACAGAGGGUGCAAGCGUUGUUCGGAAUUACUGGGCGUAAAGCGCGCGCAGGCGGGAUGGCAAGUCGGGUGUGAAAGCCCUCGGCUCAACCGAGGAAGUGCAUUCGAAACUGCCGUUCUUGAGUGUCGGAGAGGGUGGUGGAAUUCCCGAUGUAGAGGUGAAAUUCGUAGAUAUCGGGAGGAACACCAGUGGCGAAGGCGACCAUCUGGCCGAACACUGACGCUGAGGCGCGAAAGCGUGGGGAGCAAACAGG